This is a long non-coding RNA of Hypanus sabinus (Atlantic stingray), 1037 nucleotides long. RefSeq lists it as uncharacterized. Lineage: Eukaryota; Metazoa; Chordata; Chondrichthyes; Myliobatiformes; Dasyatidae. The transcript is spliced from 3 exons. The record is from RefSeq and is a predicted model, not a curated record.
UUGGGCCACUGCUGGUGAAUUGGUGCUCAGGGUUAGACCUGGCAGAGGAUUAGUGACCUCGGAGAUAUCAAUAGGGACUGUAGAGCUGCAGAGAGGAAAACAAAGGGAAGGCAGGUCCAAAUCUUCUGCAAAACAAUACAUGGGUCUGCUGGUUCUACCCUUCUGUGGGACUUCUGGAGGGCAGAAUCCUGACUGCCCGAACAGCCGAAUGGUGCUGUCAAGACCUCUGCAUCUUGGUGCUGCACUUAGGGAGUCCUCGAGGUGAAGUGCAAAGUUUUUCAACAGUAACGUCAAGAAAUACGAUGGUGAUAUGGAUGUGAAAACAGGGCUGACAAAUAAAUCAAUUACACGGCAUCACCCAGAGACAUAGUUUGCCCAUCGAAGUUUCGGUACGUGAAUUAGAGUAACAUUUGACUGUGUGGACAGGAACAGUCGUGAUGUCUUUGAAAAAAUUAAACUUCAAUUAUUACAAUCUGCCAUUUUUGGACUGCAAGUAGUCUUGUGUCAUAUCCUCAGAAACAAAUUUGUUGCAGGACUAAAUAUGCAACCAAUAACACAAAUUCAACAUGAGACUUCACAAUCUGUGAAUCAGCAUUGCUGAAUGACAGUGAUGUGGACUGCUAUGCCACUGAACUCCAUAUGUAUCUGACGAUCACAAGACAUAAUCUCAUUAAAAGUAAUCCUUCCAGAAAUUGAAUGUGGGGUCCUGAAAGGUGAAAGUUGCACUGAAUCAAGGACACCUGCCAAGGAUUAAGACAAAAUGAUAACUGAGUUAGAAACAAACCAGUGCUCUAUUACAACUUUUAUAACUCCAACGUCCCAAAUUGGUCACAAAAUGAAAAUCCACAUUUAAGUUCAAGAUGUUGCAGCCAACUUAGUUAAACAAUAUCAUUAUCCUGACUAUUAUGAAGAUAUAUAUAUAUAUAUAUAUAUAAUUUUAAAUUGAGAUGAAUACCCCUCUUGUAUUCUCCUGGUCUGGCAUCUAACCUUUACCCUUAUAGUCAGUCUUAGACACUGGUCUGCAUAUGUAACAUUGA